GGCUCAGGAUGAACGCUAGCGGCAGGCUUAAUACAUGCAAGUCGUGGGGCAGCAUGAGUAGCAAUACUUGAUGGCGACCGGCAAACGGGUGAGGAACACGUACACUAACCUUCCUUCAAGCGGGGAAUAGCCCAGAGAAAUUUGGAUUAAUACCCCAUAAUAUAUUUGAUAAGGCAUCUUAUUAAUAUUAAAGCUUCGGCACUUGAUGAUGGGUGUGCGGCUGAUUAGAUAGUUGGCGGGGUAACGGCCCACCAAGUCUACGAUCAGUAGCUGAUGUGAGAGCAUGAUCAGCCACACGGGCACUGAGACACGGGCCCGACUCCUACGGGAGGCAGCAGUAAGGAAUAUUGGACAAUGGACGAAAGUCUGAUCCAGCCAUGCCCGCGUGAAGGAUUAAGGUCCUCUGGAUUGUAAACUUCUUUUAUAUGGGACGAAAAAGGGCAUUCUUGUUCACUUGACGGUACCAUAUGAAUAAGCACCGGCUAACUCCGUG
RNAcentral lists this ribosomal RNA (493 nucleotides) under uncultured bacterium. Its description in RNAcentral is "bacterial SSU rRNA". It matches the Rfam family "Bacterial small subunit ribosomal RNA", at positions 21 to 507 of the family's 1533-position model. The record is from RNAcentral.